GCGGAAAUAGCUCAGUUGGUAGAGCAUAACCUUGCCAAGGUUAGGGUCGCAAGUUCGAGUCUCGUUUUCCGCU
This 73-nucleotide transfer RNA is filed under the name Phocaeicola plebeius. RNAcentral's name for it is "Bacteroides plebeius tRNA-Gly". It matches the Rfam family "tRNA". From Rfam's summary of the family: Transfer RNA (tRNA) molecules are approximately 80 nucleotides in length. Lineage: Bacteria; Pseudomonadati; Bacteroidota; Bacteroidia; Bacteroidales; Bacteroidaceae. The record is from RNAcentral.